UACGUAGGUGGCAAGCGUUGUCCGGAAUUAUUGGGCGUAAAGCGCGUGUAGGCGGCUUGUUAAGUCGGUCGUGAAAGCCCACGGCUCAACCGUGGAAGUGCAACCGAAACUGGCAAGCUUGAGUUCUGAAGAGGAUGGCGGAAUUCCCAGUGUAGAGGUGAAAUUCGUAGAUAUUGGGAGGAACAUCGGUGGCGAAGGCGGCCAUCUGGGAAGCGACUGACGCUGAGACGCGAAAGCGUGGGUAGCAAACAGG
RNAcentral lists this ribosomal RNA (253 nucleotides) under uncultured bacterium. RNAcentral describes it as "partial 16S ribosomal RNA". It matches the Rfam family "Bacterial small subunit ribosomal RNA", at positions 524 to 776 of the family's 1533-position model. The record is from RNAcentral.